This 373-nucleotide ribosomal RNA is filed under the name uncultured organism. RNAcentral's name for it is "partial 16S ribosomal RNA". It matches the Rfam family "Bacterial small subunit ribosomal RNA", at positions 527 to 896 of the family's 1533-position model. The record is from RNAcentral.
GUAGGUGGCAAGCGUCGUCCGGAAUUAUUGGGCGUAAAGCGCGCGCAGGUGGGUUCUUUAAGUCUGAUGUGAAAGCCCCCGGGCUCAACCGGGGAGGGUCAUUGGAAACUGGGGAACUUGAGUGCAGGAGAGGAAAGUGGAAUUCCACGUGUAGCGGUGAAAUGCGUAGAUAUGUGGAGGAACACCAGUGGCGAAGGCGACUUUCUGGCCUGUAACUGACACUGAGGCGCGAAAGCGUGGGGAGCAAACAGGAUUAGAUACCCUGGUAGUCCACGCCGUAAACGAUGAGUGCUAAGUGUUGGGGGGUUUCCGCCCCUCAGUGCUGCAGCUAACGCAUUAAGCACUCCGCCUGGGGAGUACGGUCGCAAGACUG